CAACCACGCUGGACUUUCUACUUCGAUAAUCUAUAAUUAGUUUGCGUUUAUAACAGAAUUGAUAUUGAUUAUGACUAAUCAAUCAUAUGGCGACAUAGUUGAUAUUUUUUCUGCAGCGGUGGUUUCUGAACCUGGUUUUGUUAUGCACAAUUACAACAUACAAUACUUGACCUCAAUUUCAGUUUUUUUCUGCAACUUCCGGGGAAUCUAAAUCUUUUUGAACAGAAUGGUACUUGAAUGACUCCUGUCACAACAAAUUCAGUAGUUAAAAAAAUGGAAACUCUUGCCUUAAAAUUAGAGCGACUUACCAGAUUCGUUAACUGAAACCUAUCAUCGAAUUUUUUUUAUAAAGCUUUCUAAUUUAUUAUACACACUUGAAGCUUAUAAACUUUAAUUUUUAGUCGACCUCUGGUCUUUUAUUUUUUCUUGGCGAUACUGUUACUUCAAAGUCAUUCAAAUAUGAACUCUUGCCUUCGCUUCGAAGAUAGUUAUCUGCGUUCCGCCUUUUAUUUCACCAUAAUAACAAGAUCGAUGUUCUCAAUGCGAUUCUUUUUGCGUGGUUAUUCUUGUACUGCUGAAUUUGAAAUAGAGGUGUUCAGAGUGCAUGCUCAGUGUUAAAGCCUCUUCUUUGAAACUUAUCCGUAAGCGGAAUAAUUUUCUCUUGAAACUCUUCCAGCGUAAUCUUUUCCGUUCAAAAAAUUACUUAAAACUGUUUCGAGGAAAAAAUUUUUUGUUCAUAAUUUGUUGGUGCACCUUUCAAAAAGUAUUUUCCAUAUCGAAGCUUUUCCUAGAAAUAACUUUCUACGGCAUUUUUUCCUUCUUUCCUAUCUUUCCUUAUCCGAGCCAGUGUCGAGAACAAAAAUUACACUGCGGGUGGUUGAGCUGUAACUUUUGAUUACAAAAGCGGAGCUAUUUCUCAUCCUCAAAUUUUUUAUCGUCCGCAACGGAGCGGUUUGAAACGUUAAGAGGAUACUUGAAGUGCGGUCGGAAAUAUAGGAUGGAGUACCCAGCAACAGCAGAAGAAGAGGAUUUCUUCAAUGAGAUGCAGUCCCAGCAAAGUGAGGUUCAGGAAGAAAUGCGAGCAGGCACGAUAAAGAAAGGAGAUGUGUUCUCAUAGGAGCUCUCCCUUAAACGCGGACGACCCUGCGGCUGCCAUAACAAAACAACGACUGGUUAUUUUCUGCAGAAAAAAAACUGAAACUUUAAAUUUGGCAAUUGUAAAUAGAUUAGAAAUUACUUGAUUAUUUAGGUUACGACUCUAGAUAUAAUAUGAAAUGAUUGAUUUGUUUUGAA
This is a long non-coding RNA of Symsagittifera roscoffensis, 1293 nucleotides long. RefSeq lists it as uncharacterized. The record is from RefSeq and is a predicted model, not a curated record. The transcript is spliced from 3 exons. Lineage: Eukaryota; Metazoa; Xenacoelomorpha; Acoela; Convolutidae.